UACUGGUGGCCAUUGUGUGGG
This 21-nucleotide unclassified non-coding RNA is filed under the name Chlamydomonas reinhardtii. RNAcentral's name for it is "small RNA Cre_2262". Lineage: Eukaryota; Viridiplantae; Chlorophyta; Chlorophyceae; Chlamydomonadales; Chlamydomonadaceae. The record is from RNAcentral.